CUCUGGCAGUGGGAAUAGGAGGAUAAGUCACAGGUCUCGUACUCAGUGGAUGGACAGGUGUGUGUGUUUCAGCCUGGAGGACUGCAAGCAGUGGGUGAGGAAGAACGUUGCAGAGAGAUGGGAUGUCCUGAGCACUGAGGGUUGUGCUGGGAAAGUAGCAACUGUCUCAUCAGAGAAGCUUCUGCCCUAACCCAGCCCUCUGCUCUGCAGAAUAGUGGGGAAGUCUGGGCCUCAGGAAGCCACAUAAGAUGACAACAGGACAGUGACAUAAAUGGAUUGUCUUUGAAUUAGGAAAAGCAAAGCUGAUAAUUCAGCUCCUACCCAAGAGGACCAAAACCCUGAGCACAGAGGUGUAGUGUAGCCCGGUUGCACCAUGGGCUCCAGGCUUCUUCACUGCAUGAUGCUUUGUCUCCUGGGAGCAGGCCCUGUGGAGGCAGGAGUCACUCAAACUCCAAGACACCUGAUCAAAACAAAAGGACAGAAAGUGACACUGAGAUGUUCCCCUAUGUCUGGACACAACAACGUGUAUUGGUACCAACAGAUCCUGGGCCAGGGACUCCAGUUCAUUUUUGAAUAUUACAGAGAAGAACAAGGAGCAAAGGGAAACUUCCCCAGUCGGUUCUCAGCUCACCAGUUCCGUGACUACAGCUCUGAGAUGAAUGUGAGCUCCUUGCAGCUGGAGGACUCGGCCCUGUAUCUCUGUGCCAGCAGCUUGGCACAGCCCUGCAGAGUCACUGACCUUCUAUGCACAAACUUCUUACCUGGGCUCUGGCAGUGA
Molecule: non-coding RNA, 778 nt
Organism: Tupaia belangeri chinensis (Chinese tree shrew)
Lineage: Eukaryota; Metazoa; Chordata; Mammalia; Scandentia; Tupaiidae
Source: the annotation of a RefSeq genome assembly